Molecule: long non-coding RNA, 2502 nt
Filed under: Triticum aestivum (bread wheat)
Lineage: Eukaryota; Viridiplantae; Streptophyta; Magnoliopsida; Poales; Poaceae
Description: long non-coding RNA (TAES_LNC008769)
Source: RNAcentral
AUAGUUAGAAUGAUGGAUUAGCCCAAAAUCUGAUUUACAACUAUGACAUACCUGAGCCUUGUUUAUCUUUUUAUGCUUGUUAUUGUAGUAUGUCCUUGGUAGCAAACUCUAGUAAUUAGGAAAAUCUUCCGAUGAUACUUUUGAUCCUUUCACCUCCUUUCUCUUAGUAUUGUAUGCAAAAAUUAAUCUAAUAUCAUUGUUCAGUGGGCCAUAGUUUGUGCCUUCCACAACCUUAAUAUGCUAAAUGGGUAAAUAGAUUUCUCAGUUAUCCUUUGAUCUAUAAGUAUCUAUCCGAUUUUUACGUAUAGUAGCAUGAGUUGUUUGGUCCUCUAUCAAAAUAACUAAAAUAUAUACUUAUCGACUGUUGUUUGAACCAUAGAAUAGUCUGUAUUUAAAAUUUAUAGAAUAAACCUGCUCAUCUGUUAAGAUCACAUCAAGAUUCACUUAUCGAUUAUUUUUGGAACAAUAGAACGGUCUGCAAUUAAAUAUGUAUAGCAUAAACCUGUUCAUCCAUCAAGAUCACAUCAAGGCUCAUAAGUUCAUCAGUUGUAGGAUUGAUUAUAUCCCAUGUUCAUGUUACUUUCACUUAAAAAUCCCAGUUUUGGUCUCUUGUUGAAGUCUCUCAGCUUCUUGUAUUCCCAGGCAUUUUCAGUUGAAAAGGAUUAAAACACACUGCUUCAAAAGGAUUGAAAAAGUAGUUGUCAAUUGAUAAUGUGCAUAUGAAGAUUGUAGCUGACAAAAGUGAGUUCAUAGUAAUAAUAAUUACUAACCAUGUUGAUUCAGGUGAGAAGAAAACUCAGACGGUUGGGUGUGACUUACGUAGAAAUCCAGUUGCAUGCCACUUCAUAAUUUGGGCUGGCUUCGAUAUUUGCGGAGCGCCAAGUCCAAACAUCUUGCAUCACAGAGUCUGUUGGCUUCAACUGUCCUGGUGGUGGCAUCGUCGGCAUCAUAGAGUUGGCUGGCUUCAAUUUUCCUCAUAAAAUAUGUAUAGCAUAAACCUAUUCAUCCAUCAAGAUCAGAUCAAGGCUCAUAAGUUCAUGAGUUGUAGGAUUGAUUAUAUCCCAUGUUCUUGUUACUUUCACUUAAAAAUCCCAGUUUUGGUCUCUUGUUGAAGUCUCUCAGCUUCUUGUAUUCCCAGGCAUUUUCAGUUGAAAAGGAUUAAAACACACUGCUUCAAAAGGAUUGAAAAAGUAGUUGUCAAUUGAUAAUGUGCAUAUGAAGAUUGUAGCUGACAAAAGUGAGUUCAUAGUAAUAAUAAUUACUAACCAUGUUGAUUCAGGUGAGAAGAAAACUCACACAGUUGGGUGUGACUUACGUAGAAAUCCAGUUGCAUGCCACUUCAUAAUUUGAGCUGGCUUCGAUAUUUGCGGAGCGCCAAGUCCAAACAUCUCGCAUCACAGAGUCUGUUGGCUUCAACUGUCCUGGUGGUGGCAUCGUCGGCAUCGUAGAGUUGGUUGGCUUCAAUUUUCCUCGUAAAAUAUGUAUAGCAUAAACCUAUUCAUCCAUCAAGAUCAGAUCAAGGCUCAUAAGUUCAUUAGUUGUAGGAUUGAUUAUAUCCCAUGUUCUUGUUACUUUCACUUAAAAAUCCCAGUUUUGGUCUCUUGUUGAAGUCUCUCAGCUUCUUGUAUUCCCAGGCAUUUUCAGUUGAAAAGGAUUAAAACACACUGCUUCAAAAGGAUUGAAAAAGUAGUUGUCAAUUGAUAAUGUGCAUAUGAAGAUUGUAGCUGACAAAAGUGAGUUCAUAGUAAUAAUAAUUACUAACCAUGUUGAUUCAGGUGAGAAGAAAACUCAGACGGUUGGGUGUGACGUACGUAGAAAUCCAGUUGCAUGCUACUUCAUAAUUUGUGCUGGCUUCGAUAUUUGCGGAGCGCCAAGUCCAAACAUCUCGCAUCACAGAGUCUGUUGGCUCCAACUAUCCUGGUGGUGGCAUCGUCGGCAUCGUAGAGUUGGUUGGCUUCAAUUUUCCUCGUCGUGUCGCUGAGUCGUGAGUUGCUGGGCAUCUUAGAUUUCCAGACUGAAGAUGGGCGUGUUUGGCUGCUGGGUGUGGUCGGCCGUGAAUUUUUAUGGAUGAGUUCUGGCCGUCCUUAUGGAGUCCUUGUAUGUUUAUAUUUCCAAUUAAACGCUAUGUGCUAUGUGCGAAUAGUCUGAUGGAUGCGGCCAGCCGUGUAUUUUUGGGGGCGUGUCCGUAUGCACUCCUUUUGGCUGACCAAGUUACUAAUGUGUCCUUCUGACUUCCGAUUAGGAAUUUUACGUGACAAUAGUUGGAUAUGCAACCUCCACUGUCCAUAUCUAAUAUUAGUUUUGUAGAGAUAAUUUAAUCUUUGGUUUUUUUUUGAACCGGUGCUUCCUUCUAUGACUCCAUUGAUGUACCUUAUGCAUGUGUCGUAUGCAUAUAGACGUGACAGUUCAAUUUCCUGAAACGUACAUAUUCACAUGUACGUAAAAUCUUUAAAUCUGAGCCAUUGUUAUUUUGAUCAAGCGGUGGUAAUAAUAUAGUCUAUG